UACGGGGGGAGCAAGCGUUGUUCGGAUUUACUGGGCGUAAAGGGCGCGUAGGCGGCCACCGCAAGUCAAUUGUGAAAUCUCCGGGCUUAACCCGGAAAGGUCAACUGAUACUGCGGGGCUAGAGUGCGGAAGGGGCAACUGGAAUUCUCGGUGUAGCGGUGAAAUGCGCAGAUAUCAGGAGGAACACCCGUGGCGAAAGCGGCUCUCUGGGACGGUACUGACGCUGAGACGCGAAAGCGUGGGGAGCAAACAGG
Molecule: ribosomal RNA, 254 nt
Filed under: uncultured bacterium
Lineage: Bacteria
Description: partial 16S ribosomal RNA
Rfam family: Bacterial small subunit ribosomal RNA
Source: RNAcentral